GACGAACGCUGGCGGCGUGCCUAAUACAUGCAAGUAGAACGCUGAAGAGAGGAGCUUGCUCUUCUUGGAUGAGUUGCGAACGGGUGAGUAACGCGUAGGUAACCUGCCUUGUAGCGGGGGAUAACUAUUGGAAACGAUAGCUAAUACCGCAUAACAAUGGAUGACACAUGUCAUUUAUUUGAAAGGGGCAAUUGCUCCACUACAAGAUGGACCUGCGUUGUAUUAGCUAGUAGGUGAGGUAACGGCUCACCUAGGCGACGAUACAUAGCCGACCUGAGAGGGUGAUCGGCCACACUGGGACUGAGACACGGCCCAGACUCCUACGGGAGGCAGCAGUAGGGAAUCUUCGGCAAUGGGGGCAACCCUGACCGAGCAACGCCGCGUGAGUGAAGAAGGUUUUCGGAUCGUAAGGCUCUGUUGUAAGUCAAGAACGAGUGUGAGAGUGGAAAGUUCACACUGUGACGGUAGCUUACCAGAAAGGGACGGCUAACUACGUG
This 497-nucleotide ribosomal RNA is filed under the name uncultured bacterium. RNAcentral's name for it is "partial 16S ribosomal RNA". It matches the Rfam family "Bacterial small subunit ribosomal RNA", at positions 28 to 507 of the family's 1533-position model. The record is from RNAcentral.